This 262-nucleotide long non-coding RNA is filed under the name Elaeis guineensis (African oil palm). RNAcentral's name for it is "long non-coding RNA (EGUI_LNC037517)". Lineage: Eukaryota; Viridiplantae; Streptophyta; Magnoliopsida; Arecales; Arecaceae. The record is from RNAcentral.
AAAUAAAGAAUAUAACAUAAGCGACUGACUUACGAUGACAUGCACAAUUAAACAAGAUCUUGUAUCUAAUUGUGUCUCCCACUAUUUUAUCGGACACCAUAGCCCUCACUAUGAUGAACGGGAUACUGUAGAGUUAUCCAUGUAUGGUUGAGAUCUUAAUUCCUCGUAAGAGCCUUGUGGUUACACAACAAAUCCUAACAAGUUCAUAGGUAGAAAACUCUUUCCAAUUUUAACUCAUGCAACUCUCAACUCUAUCCUGGCC